This 206-nucleotide ribosomal RNA is filed under the name uncultured bacterium. RNAcentral's name for it is "partial 16S ribosomal RNA". It matches the Rfam family "Bacterial small subunit ribosomal RNA", at positions 568 to 774 of the family's 1533-position model. The record is from RNAcentral.
UGCGUAGGCGGGUCUUUAAGUCAGGGGUGAAAUCCUGGAGCUCAACUCCAGAACUGCCUUUGAUACUGAAGAUCUUGAGUCCGGGAGAGGUGAGUGGAACUGCGAGUGUAGAGGUGAAAUUCGUAGAUAUUCGCAAGAACACCAGUGGCGAAGGCGGCUCACUGGCCCGAUACUGACGCUGAGGCACGAAAGCUGGGGAGCAAACA